This 228-nucleotide unclassified non-coding RNA is filed under the name uncultured fungus. RNAcentral's name for it is "sequence contains ITS1, 5.8S rRNA gene". The stretch from base 180 to 228 matches the Rfam family "5.8S ribosomal RNA", at positions 1 to 49 of the family's 154-position model. Lineage: Eukaryota; Fungi. The record is from RNAcentral.
UCUCCGUAGGUGAACCUGCGGAGGGAUCAUUACUGAGUGAGGGUCUCCGGGCCCGACCUCCAACCCUUUUGUGAACCACCUCGUUGCUUCGGGGGCGACCCUGCCGUUUCGACGGCGAGCGCCCCCGAAGGUCUCCCAACACUGCAUCGUUGCGUCGGAGUUUAACACAAAUCAAACAAAACUUUCAACAACGGAUCUCUUGGUUCUGGCAUCGAUGAAGAACGCAGC